UACGUAGGGGGCGAGCGUUGUCCGGAAUCAUUGGGCGUAAAGCGCGUGUAGGCGGCCCGGUAAGUCCGCUGUGAAAGUCCAGGGCUCAACCCUGGGAUGCCGGUGGAUACUGUCGGGCUCGAGUCCGGAAGAGGCGAGUGGAAUUCCUGGUGUAGCGGUGAAAUGCGUAGAGAUCCGGAAGAACACCGGUGGCGAAGGCGGCCUGCUGGGCAGUAGCUGACACUGAUGCGCGACAGCGUGGGGAGCAAACAGG
RNAcentral lists this ribosomal RNA (253 nucleotides) under uncultured bacterium. RNAcentral describes it as "partial 16S ribosomal RNA". It matches the Rfam family "Bacterial small subunit ribosomal RNA", at positions 524 to 776 of the family's 1533-position model. The record is from RNAcentral.